UUUUUAUGGAGAGUUUGAUCCUGGCUCAGGAUGAACGCUGGCGGCGUGCCUAAUACAUGCAAGUCGAGCGAACGGACGAGAAGCUUGCUUCUCUGAUGUUAGCG
RNAcentral lists this ribosomal RNA (104 nucleotides) under Staphylococcus aureus. Its description in RNAcentral is "partial 16S ribosomal RNA". It matches the Rfam family "Bacterial small subunit ribosomal RNA", at positions 1 to 97 of the family's 1533-position model. The record is from RNAcentral. RNAcentral also lists the same sequence under 1 other name. Lineage: Bacteria; Bacillati; Bacillota; Bacilli; Caryophanales; Staphylococcaceae.